GGUGGCAAGUGAUGUGAAUUUGAAAUCUUAUCCUACACACUGAACCAUGGUGUGGACUGAUAACUCCGCUUAUUAUCUGAUGCCACU
This 87-nucleotide small nucleolar RNA is filed under the name Musa balbisiana (Balbis banana). RNAcentral's name for it is "Small nucleolar RNA R16". It matches the Rfam family "Small nucleolar RNA R16". Rfam says of the family: snoR16 is a member of the C/D class of snoRNA which contain the C (UGAUGA) and D (CUGA) box motifs. Lineage: Eukaryota; Viridiplantae; Streptophyta; Magnoliopsida; Zingiberales; Musaceae. RNAcentral also lists the same sequence under 1 other name. The record is from Rfam by way of RNAcentral.